UUCUAUUUUUAAUCCAAUAAUUGCCCCUAUAUGUUUUCUUCUGUGUUAUCUUAUAUGCAAAUCGAUAUGUACUCAAAAUAUGAUUUGAUCAAGGAUCUUAAUCCUACCAAGGAUAAGUGGAGGAUUAAGGUUAAGGUGGUUAGGACUUGGAAGGUUCCUAAUUUUCAGACAAAGGAUUUUGAUGACAAUGUUGAGAUGGUUUUGUUGGAUGAACAGGGUGGAAGGAUCUAUGCUACUGUCAAAGGUUCUUUACAAGUGCGAAAAAAAAUUCGUGAAGGAGAAGUAUAUUUUAUAAUAAAAAAAUUGGAGUUGGGUUAAACAAUGAUAAUUUCAGGCCAACCAGGCAUGGUUAUCGUCUAUCUUUCAACUUGAAGACGGAUGUUAAAUCCACUGUUGAUGCAACUAUUCCUGCCAAUGGAUUCGAUUUUGUUGAUUUUGACAUUAUUGAAAAAGAAUCGCCAGACUCUCCUUAUUUAGUGGACGUCAUCGGUUUACUAUCAGGAAUUGGGGAAGUUCGUGAGCAUGUAGUCUCCGGGGUCACAAGCUUGAGUGCACUUUGUGGGAACAAUAUGUGGAUGAAGCGCAAUCGUUCUUGGCAAAUAAUCAGUCUGCUCAGAACGUGAUAAUAGUCCAGCUUGCAAGGAUAAAAAGUUUUAAGGGUAUUUUUUUAUAUUUGUUGAUUUUUUUUAAUAGUGUCAUACUCUAAUUGUCUCUCUAUGUUUCCCACUUUAUCGUCUUCUAAAUUAUAUAGGUAAAAUUGGAAUAACAAAUACAAAGUAUACGACAAGGAUUUUCUUGGAUUCCAAUGUACCAAAAGUUGUCGACUUCAAAAAAAGGUUUAGUUUUGUAGCUUUAGUCUCUUUGAAGUUUAACAUAUCCGCGUUUGUCUUUCGUGAAACUUUUUUUUUUAAAACACAUUUCGAGAAGGUCGAUAUACUUUAACUCCAUACCUUGCAAGCCUCUAUAUUUCUGCAUUAGAAACGAUAAGUCGUCAUCUUAAUGAAAUCAAAUUGUAUUUUAGGGUUGAUGGUUAUAAUUAAUGAUUUAGUUCCCAAUGUGGAGUAUAAAUGUUCCUUUUAUAUAGAAGCCUUUAUUAACUUAUGGCAUAGAAAAAUUGCAAAACAUGGUUUGUCUUGACUUUCGACAUUGAGUCAAUGGCUGAAUCAUCUUCAACAAAGCGGGAAAGGGUUGAGAAGCAGAGGCAUGAGUCACUCGAAACUCUUCCAGACGAGUUAUUAUUAGAGAUUUUUGCAAGGGUGGCAGCUCAUAACAUCCAUGACAUAUGCAACAUCAAACAAAGUUGUAAGGAUUUUCUUUGCAUUGCAAGGGAAAAUUUUUUGCUUGUGCGUGCAACAAAUAUUCUUCUUGGUAUAGAGUGAUAGAACAGUGAGGGAUGAGGUUUAAGACAGAAACAUGAUGCACUGUGACUGAUGAGGUUGAAUAAUGACUUUAUUUUUUGCUGCUGUUGAACUCUGUUUUGUAGUAAACAUAUUCGAUAUUUAACAAUUUCUUGGGAACUUUUAAAGUCAUUAUUAAACUCUUAAAAAGAAUCUUUGAAAAAACAUAAGUAUACAUUUAUGUGUGAAGCGUUUGGGAUUGACGUUACACAACUUCUUCUUUUUUUUUUAAAUAUUCCAAUCGGUUCAUUGCUUCGCAACUAAUCCGAUUCGGGGCGGGUCCAGGAUUAAGGCUUUAAACCUCUCUGAAAGGUGGUACUGGGUAAGUUUGUUUUAAGUUAUUUAUGAUUAUAUGGUGAGGUACCAAUUUCAUGUGUCAUUUAUGAUUACCGAGAUAAGUCACCAAGUGUAGAUAUUACCCAUAUUGAGUUUAAAAGCUAUUUAUGAUUAUAUGGUGAGGUACCCCGUAAUCCGAAUGGCAACAUAUUAUAUAAUCAGUGCAAGCAUUUUCUCAUAUGAAUAAUUUUAACAUCUUUUUUGGAUUUUAACAAAAAAAACUUCUACAUUAGUUCAAUGGAUGAAUCAACUUCUUCAACAGAAAUGAGUCCCUCAAAACUAUGCCUAACGAUAUUUUUAUUCGAGAUUUUUGCAAGGGUUGAAGCUCAAACCGUCAGUGACAUCUACAAUGUCCAGCAAACCUGUAAGGAUUUUCGUAAUAUUGCACGGGAUUCUUAUUUGUUUAAAUGUGCAAUUCAGAUUUUCCUUGCUGAAGAAAUGUAAAUCUCUGAACAUCUUCAUGAUG
Molecule: long non-coding RNA, 2199 nt
Organism: Gastrolobium bilobum
Lineage: Eukaryota; Viridiplantae; Streptophyta; Magnoliopsida; Fabales; Fabaceae
Exons: 4
Source: RefSeq, a predicted model, not a curated record